GCUAAACGCGAAGAACCUUACCUGGGUUUGACAUGCACAGGACGCACCUAGAGAUAGGUGUUCCCUUGUGGCCUGUGUGCAGGUGGUGCAUGGCUGUCGUCAGCUCGUGUCGUGAGAUGUUGGGUUAAGUCCCGCAACGAGCGCAACCCUUGUCCUAUGUUGCCAGCGGGUGAUGCCGGGGACUCGUAGGAGACUGCCGGGGUCAACUCGGAGGAAGGUGGGGAUGACGUCAAGUCAUCAUGCCCCUUAUGUCCAGGGCUUCACACAUGCUACAAUGGCCGGUACAAAGGGCUGCGAUGCCGUGAGGUGGAGCGAAUCCUUGGUAAAGCCGGUCUCAGUUCGGAUCGGGGUCUGCAACUCGACCCCGUGAACGUCGGAGUCGCUAGUAAUCGCAGAUCAGCAACGCUGCGGUGAAUACGUUCCCGGGUCUUGUACACACCG
Molecule: ribosomal RNA, 441 nt
Filed under: uncultured bacterium
Lineage: Bacteria
Description: bacterial SSU rRNA
Rfam family: Bacterial small subunit ribosomal RNA
Source: RNAcentral